Molecule: ribosomal RNA, 439 nt
Filed under: Salmonella enterica subsp. enterica serovar Tennessee
Lineage: Bacteria; Pseudomonadati; Pseudomonadota; Gammaproteobacteria; Enterobacterales; Enterobacteriaceae
Description: bacterial LSU rRNA
Rfam family: Bacterial large subunit ribosomal RNA
Source: RNAcentral
CGUAUCACCCAAGACAACUUUACGGAGUUGACGAUUGACGGAGCGAAGCGACGUCAAAGCGUUCAUUAAAGUCGAGUUGGCUUAGGGAUACGUUCGUUGGGUAGGGGAGCGUUCUGUAAGCCUGCGAAGGUGGCCUGUGAGGGUUGCUGGAGGUAUCAGAAGUGCGAAUGCUGACAUAAGUAACGAUAAAGCGGGUGAAAAGCCCGCUCGCCGGAAGACCAAGGGUUCCUGUCCAACGUUAAUCGGGGCAGGGUGAGUCGACCCCUAAGGCGAGGCCGAAAGGCGUAGUCGAUGGGAAACGGGUUAAUAUUCCCGUACUUGGUGUUACUGCGAAGGGGGGACGGAGAAGGCUAUGUUGGCCGGGCGACGGUUGUCCCGGUUUAAGCGUGUAGGUGUGUGUUCCAGGUAAAUCCGGUUCACUUUAACACUGAGGCGUGAU